UCAAAAGUAGAAAUUGCAGAGAGUAUCUUUAUUGAUUCAUAUAAUAAGCAAAGUACAAUUACACGAGAAAGUGAAAUCUGAAGAAGAAAUAAAUUACAAGCACAAUACUCUGUUCUCAUUUACAAUUCAAGCUCCUUUUGGAGACUGGGUUUGCUAUGAACAUAGAACAAAAAAAACCUGGAAAGUUGCAGAAUGAAAAGUGUCGAUAAAGGUUUUCCAUCUUCGUGAUCUAAAGCUCUAAUUCCUUCCACAAGUUGCCUUUCAAAAAUAUCCAGGAAUUCGAUAGUUAAAGUGGCAAUCCAAGUUCCAUUCUCUUUUACGAUUCAAAGUCUCAUGGAGAUGUGAUUUGUUUAUCAACUUUCAAAACAGGAACUAGAAAGUUGAUGAAAUGAUAAGCGCACAUAAGUUUUCCAUCCUCAUGACCUAAAGUUCCACAAGUUGCCUUCCAAAAGUUUUGAGAAUUUGACAUUUGAACUGACAUCCCGAGUUCCAUUCUUGUUGUCUUUGAAUAAGUCGUGAAAACACUUUGACAACAAAUAUUCUUGAUGGCAUUUUCGAUAUAUCAAAAAUUGCGACAACAAGAGUUCCAUUCUCAUUGUAUACUGAUCUUGGUUCAAAUAACCGAGCUUAAAAUAUUCGAUAGCAUUCCAGCCUUCACAGUAAAAAACACAAAAGUCAAUAAAAGAAUAUAGUAUAAGAAUAAAAGAUAAUGAUCAAAUUUUGCAUACCCCAAACCUAAGGUUGUAAAUUAUGAUCGAGUAGUGCUGUCCAAACGAUCUGAGAUGAAAGGACUCCUUGCGUGCUUAUCAAGAGCAGCAGGAGGAAAUAGAUCUGGGAUAGAGCGCAGAUGUCUCAAGCGUUUUGUGACCAACAACACUAACAAUGAAAAGCAAACCAUGAGUAACAGACCAAAUGCUGACAACAACAGACGAAAUACAAUUAGUCUUGUAUUGAGCUAAAAGACAGACCUCAAACCUCAGGCCAGUAUAUUAUAUUCCUUCUAUUGCAGGGACGCUGGCACAAAAGAGAGUAUCCAUAAGCAACAAGG
Molecule: long non-coding RNA, 1048 nt
Filed under: Triticum aestivum (bread wheat)
Lineage: Eukaryota; Viridiplantae; Streptophyta; Magnoliopsida; Poales; Poaceae
Description: long non-coding RNA (TAES_LNC021162)
Source: RNAcentral